GGGGAAGGGUAGCUUGCUACCUGACCUAGCGGCGGACGGGUGAGUAAUGCUUAGGAAUCUGCCUAUUAGUGGGGGACAACAUUCCGAAAGGAAUGCUAAUACCGCAUACGCCCUACGGGGGAAAGCAGGGGAUCUUCGGACCUUGCGCUAAUAGAUGAGCCUAAGUCAGAUUAGCUAGUUGGUGGGGUAAAGGCCUACCAAGGCGACGAUCUGUAGCGGGUCUGAGAGGAUGAUCCGCCACACUGGGACUGAGACACGGCCCAGACUCCUACGGGAGGCAGCAGUGGGGAAUAUUGGACAAUGGGCGAAAGCCUGAUCCAGCCAUGCCGCGUGUGUGAAGAAGGCCUUUUGGUUGUAAAGCACUUUAAGCGAGGAGGAGGCUACUGAGAUUAAUACUCUUGGAUAGUGGACGUUACUCGCAGAAUAAGCACCGGCUAACUCUGUGCCAGCAGCCGCGGUAAUACAGAGGGUGCGAGCUUAAUCGGAUUUACUGGGCGUAA
RNAcentral lists this ribosomal RNA (500 nucleotides) under uncultured bacterium. RNAcentral describes it as "bacterial SSU rRNA". It matches the Rfam family "Bacterial small subunit ribosomal RNA", at positions 68 to 563 of the family's 1533-position model. The record is from RNAcentral.